UGGGGAAUAUUGCACAAUGGGGGAAACCCUGAUGCAGCGACGCCGCGUGAGCGAAGAAGUACUUCGGUAUGUAAAGCUCUGUCAGCAGGGAAGAUAAUGACGGUACCUGACCAAGAAGCCCCGGCUAACUACGUGCC
Molecule: ribosomal RNA, 137 nt
Filed under: uncultured bacterium
Lineage: Bacteria
Description: partial 16S ribosomal RNA
Rfam family: Bacterial small subunit ribosomal RNA
Source: RNAcentral